UUUUUUAACUGCAGCCUUAGCAAGCACUUCCCUUUUUCCUGGAAGAGACUUGCAGUCUCUUCACAGGAAACUAACCAAUCAGAGGCUUCUCAUUCAAGCCUCUGAUUGAAGCUGACCAAUAUCACUGUCUGUGGGACUGCGCAUCGAUCCAAUCAUUUUUGCCUGAGGUGAAGCUUUAUUUAGAAAAUAGGAAUAUGCCUGAUUUGCCACUUUCCCCUGAGUUUUUGCUGUUGAGACCAAUGCUGUGUCAACUCUUAACCAACAAACAGUUCCAUCUUAUUAUAGCAGCUAUUGGACGCAAAGCCAUCCUCCAAGUCUGGAACCAGCCGAGUGCUCCGACUCUACAUUUUUUUUUUAUCUAGACUUCAGUUUAUAUUUAACCCCCUGAAGGACCAAACUUUUGGAAUAAAAGGGACUCAUGACAUGUCACACAUGUCAUGUGUUCUUAAGGGGUUAAGUUGGAUUGACUACAUACAUUGACCAGCAAAGAACUCCUAGCCAGAACAUUUCUCUUGACUUGGAAAUGAUAUAUUUUGUUAUGGACUAUUCCUUUCGAUUAAAGGUAAAAAACACUUUGGAGAAGACGGCAUGGCUUUUUGGGGAAGUGGUGGUGUGUCAUGACCCCUUAUGAAGCAUUCCUUGUUAGAUAUCUAUGAUUUAGUAUUUAAGGCAGUUCUCUGGUGUGAGUUGGAGGAUAGUGGGGUUAGUACUUAGUUCAGUUUAUUUUAGUUUUUGGUUUUUAAUUUGUCUAGUCUCUCUAUUUCUUAGGUAUAUUGGAUUUUAAAAGGUAGUAUGUG
Non-coding RNA from Pelobates cultripes (western spadefoot toad), 797 nucleotides. The record is from the annotation of a GenBank genome assembly. Lineage: Eukaryota; Metazoa; Chordata; Amphibia; Anura; Pelobatidae.